UUUUUAGUCUUUCGUGACGACAUUAGUUGACCAACCACAUGAUUUAACAAAUGAUGUACAUCUAUAUGCACUAACUGGCAAUCAAUUUUGUCAUCAGGACCAGUUAGCAUAACUUUUUCUUCCAUAGAAGUAGAAGGUGAAGAGAAGUCCAAGAUCAAAGAUGCAGUGGUGGUGUCAAUAACAGAUAAGAAAUCAAAACUUGUGCAACAAGUUUUAUGCCCUAAUUGAGGAAGUGCAUUGUGUGUUGGGCUAGACAUAUGUAUAUGGUAGCGACUAUGUAAUGGAUGGCCUUGGAG
Molecule: long non-coding RNA, 296 nt
Filed under: Prunus persica (peach)
Lineage: Eukaryota; Viridiplantae; Streptophyta; Magnoliopsida; Rosales; Rosaceae
Description: long non-coding RNA (PPER_LNC004921)
Source: RNAcentral